CCUACGGGAGGCAGCAGUAGGGAAUCUUCCGCAAUGGACGAAAGUCUGACGGAGCAACGCCGCGUGAGCGAAGAAGGUCUUCGGAUCGUAAAGCUCUGUUGUUAGGGAAGAACAAGUACCGGAGUAACUGACGGCACCUUGACGGUACCUAACCAGAAAGCCACGGCUAACUACGUGCCAGCAGCCGCGGUAAU
RNAcentral lists this ribosomal RNA (194 nucleotides) under uncultured bacterium. RNAcentral's name for it is "partial 16S ribosomal RNA". It matches the Rfam family "Bacterial small subunit ribosomal RNA", at positions 338 to 524 of the family's 1533-position model. The record is from RNAcentral.